UACGGGAGUGGCAAGCGUUAUCCGGAAUUAUUGGGCGUAAAGCGUCCGCAGGCGGUCUUGUAAGUCUGUUGUUAAAGCGUGGGGCUUAACUCCAUUUCAACAAUGGAAACUGUAAGACUAGAGUGUGGUAGGGGCAGAGGGAAUUCCCGGUGUAGCGGUGAAAUGCGUAGAUAUCGGGAAGAACACCAGUGGCGAAGGCGCUCUGCUGGGCCAUAACUGACGCUCAUGGACGAAAGCCAGGGGAGCGAAAGGGAUUAGAUACCCCUGUAGUCCUGGCCGUAAACGAUGAACACUAGGUGUCGGGGGAAUCGACCCCCUCGGUGUCGUAGCCAACGCGUUAAGUGUUCCGCCUGGGGAGUACGCACGCAAGUGUGAAACUCAAAGGAAUUGACGGGGGCCCGCACAAGCGGUGGAGUAUGUGGUUUAAUUCGAUGCAACGCGAAGAACCUUACCAGGGUUUGACAUCCUGCGAAUCUCUUGGAAACGAGAGAGUGCCUUCGGGAACGCAGUGACAGGUGGUGCAUGGCUGUCGUCAGCUCGUGUCGUGAGAUGUUGGGUUAAGUCCCGCAACGAGCGCAACCCACGUCGUUAGUUGCCAGCAUUGAGUUGGGCACUCUAGCGAGACCGCCGGUGAUAAACCGGAGGAAGGUGUGGAUGACGUCAAGUCAUCAUGCCCCUUACAUCCUGGGCUACACACGUACUACAAUGCUACGGACAAAGGGCAGCAAACUCGCGAGAGCUAGCAGAUCCCAUAAACCGUGGCUCAGUUCAGAUCGUAGGCUGCAACUCGCCUACGUGAAGGAGGAAUCGCUAGUAAUCGCAGGUCAGCAUACUGCGGUGAAUACGUUCCCGGGCCU
RNAcentral lists this ribosomal RNA (857 nucleotides) under uncultured bacterium. RNAcentral's name for it is "SSU rRNA". It matches the Rfam family "Bacterial small subunit ribosomal RNA", at positions 524 to 1381 of the family's 1533-position model. The record is from RNAcentral.